This 433-nucleotide ribosomal RNA is filed under the name uncultured bacterium. RNAcentral describes it as "partial 16S ribosomal RNA". It matches the Rfam family "Bacterial small subunit ribosomal RNA", at positions 29 to 507 of the family's 1533-position model. The record is from RNAcentral.
AACGAACGCUGGCGGCAUGCCUAACACAUGCAAGUCGAACGAGACCUUCGGGUCUAUUGGCGCACGGGUGCGUAACGCGUGGGAACCUUCCCUUAUGUUCGGAAUAACUCCCCGAAAGGGGUGCUAAUACCGGAUAAUGUCUUCGGACCAAAGAUUUAUCGCCUUUGGAUGUGCCCGCGUUGGAUUAGCUAGUUGGUAGGGUAAAAGCCUACCAAGGCGACGAUCCAUAGCUGGUCUGAGAGGAUGAUCAGCCACACUGGGACUGAGACACGGCCCAGACUCCUACGGGAGGCAGCAGUGGGGAAUAUUGGAAAAUGGGCGAAAGGAUGAUCCAGCAAUGACGCGUGAGUGAUGAAGGCAUUAGGGUUGUAAAGCUCUUUUAACCGGGAUGAUAAUGACAGUACCGGGAGAAUAAGCUCCGGCUAACUCCGUG